UCUCUUGCCACAGAAGCCAUGUGCUGGGAGUUGGUGAGCAUCUUGGCAUGUCUGCAACUGUUGGCAGGUGUUUGCCAUGCAGUGACUGUGACACAAAAAGAACAGUACAAAAUCAUCCAGGUGGGAAUCAAGACAAGUAUCGACUGCAAUCACGAUGAGAGCACCUACUUGACUGUCCUUUGGUAUCGGCAGGACAGCAACAGCGCAGACAGGACACUGCAGCUAGUUGGCUACUCUGUCCAUGGGAAUACCCCAGAGAUGACUAUGACCACCUACAGUAUAGAGAGGCCGAAUGUGACACAUGCAUCCCUAUCUGUCCCUGCAAAACAGGCUGCAGAAUCAGCCGUGUAUUUCUGUGCAGCUAGUAAAGGCACAGCGAGCACUUCUUGCCUCUUAGCUGCACAUGAAUGUUGGAGUAACCCUGCCUCCACCCCAUCCGAGCCACAACUGCUUAAAACCCAACCAUUUCCUGGAUAAUAUUUCCAAAGAGGGUGAGAAAUACAGCAGCUGUAGCUGCUCCUGUCUUAUCAAUAUUCCCCCAUCCGAUUUGGAUUAAAUAAAUCAUGAAGCUCAAUCUUUCUGCUUAACAGCCAAAACAAAGUUCAAUUUUGGCUACAUUCAGAUAAAAUCCAAGCCACCAAGGCUACAGUUAGCAUGUUCCACAAACGUGGCUUCCAAGAUCCAGGCAGCUUG
Non-coding RNA from Anolis sagrei ordinatus, 693 nucleotides. NCBI's taxonomy places the organism in Eukaryota, Metazoa, Chordata, Lepidosauria, Squamata, Anolidae. The record is from the annotation of a RefSeq genome assembly.